GCAGCAACCCUAACGUCCCUACCAAGGCCUCCAUCGUCUCCAUCGCGCCAGAGAGAGAGAGAGAGAGAGAGAGAGGUGGUGAUGUCUUCUCCUCUUCACUGUUGCCCGCCACAACGAUACCGAACACCACCCCAGUCUCCUUCUUGCAUGUGAUCAAAAACGCAAAAAUUGCGGUGAAGAACGACAUCGUUGCGCUGAUGGCCUGGUUGAAGGAGACAGGGAGGUAGCGGUCUUGAGCGGUUGCCGUGACAACAUCAGCAUCUGCAUCUGCGCGUGCAAUUGGAAUCGAUAAUGAUUCCCCAGUUAAGAGUAUAUUAUACACUGCACUCUCCCUUUCCAACAUUCUUCACUUCAAUGUGUAGAUCGUGGUGGGCGAGGACGAGCCCGAGGACAGAAUCAUCAACCCCUUUAAGAAGGAGGUCCUCAAAGCCGGUGUGCUUCAGGAGUGCAAACGCAGAAGGUUCUCUGAGAACAAAGACGACAAGAUCAAGAGGAAGGCCCGCAAAGCUUCUAGAAGGAACCAAAAGAGAAGCCACAAUCAAGAGCUUGGGGACAGAAUAAACACGAUUCUGAAAAGAAGAAAAAGGAUGUUGCUGAUGAUGAUAUUGAUGAUUGGGAACUUCCACAUGGUAUUGCUGAUACAAUGGGAUGUUUGCAAAGGGAGGGUCGUUUGCUUCAGGGAGAGCAUAAUCUUUUAGGCGAAGCAUUUCUUGUUAUGUCUUUCUUCUGCUGGGGUGUCACAGAUGGAUCUAAGAUUGACAUGAAUAAAGAAGGAUACGCUGAACCCAAUGAAUCAGAUAUUCGAAAUUGGUUUAAAGGCAUCAGAGACAGUGGAUGCCUUUCAGCCUGUUUGGCUUAUUUAUCCCAAUGUCAACAUGUGUUUGGGAAAAGGAAAUAAAAGGAGUUCUGAUGUAAAAGUAACUUCUAAGUAACAAAAAAAUGCUCGACAAAAUACCUCCUAGCAUGCAAUACUCUUUGAUUUGCACAUACUACAGAUGCAUCUAAACCUUUCGCUCUCGGCAAAUUUGAAAGAGGUUGAUGUCACUUGUCUCAACCUAUGCUUUCUUAAUUUAAGUUAGUGGAAGUUCAAGGAUGCUGCAGAACAGUUCCUUUGUUUCUGGCAUGAGUACAGGAAUGGGUUGUUAUAUGGCUGGUACCUAUGCAGACUGUUUCAGCUUAAUGAAUUGUUCCUUACAGAGCCUCAAAAGGCUAGGAUUUAUCAUUACUAUGUACCUGUCUUUCUCUGGUGUGAACAGCAGAUUACUGAGCAUCAGUCGAAGUUUAAAGAUGGAGAAGAUAUACCUCCUUUAGUGGAUGUCUCUUCCAAAGCAAUCAUCAAUAGAGCUGAAUUGAGUUCUAAUUAUAGGACAUCCAGUGGCUCUGAUAUGACAUUGUCAAGUUCUGAUGACAGUUCCUAAGAGGUUCAGGCUUGCAAAGGACACAACAUUUGGGGAGUCAGUCAUCAAUUUCCUUAUGGAUGAACUUUUGCGGGAAAAUAAGAGAAUGCUGGACAAAUCAGUUAGAGAAAUAGAAUGAGAGAGACAAGAUUUGCAGUCACAAGAGAAGAAACUGAUUUUGGAGAUAAAGAAAAGUGCCAAACAAGGCCAGAUGGUGGAUGAAUAUCAAUGGUUAGUCUGUCAUGUUAAUUUGAUUUGGCACUGCUUAUCUGGAGAGGUAAGAACCAAGUAAAAGCAUCAUGUAAUGUGGGCAGUUGGACAACAGAAAUGGAUAGUCAGCCAUCCGGUUCUGCUGCAGAUGUUGUAGAUGUUAAUGAGUCUGGAAGUAGCAAGUUAGGUGGAUCCGAGCCUGAGGGUGUUGUUCUCUACUUGCAGGAUCGAUUAAAGUGGCUCGAUCAGCAGGUCAUCAUAAAGGUUGUAUAAUUUUCAAAAGCCUAUCCUUUCAUGAUUUACUGCGAUCACUAUCUACAUCCUCUUUUCGUCUAUCCUUCCUUUCAAGUUUUCUGUUCUAAGUGCUGCUCCCUCAUGAUAGAUUACUUGUUAACUUUUUCAUUUUUUUUUACCAUCAAGGACAACCUGGAGUGUUUUGCUAAUUGAGAAUGACUUUAAAAGAAAAAAUUAUAUUGGUCUUAAAAAUGAGAAUGACUGUACACCCCGGUUUAUCUUAUUUCUUUGGGAUCUGGAAAUGAGAUGAAAAUAAAAUUUAUCAUCAAGGCUGAAAACCAAUUUGAUGCUUUAA
This is a long non-coding RNA of Glycine soja, 2196 nucleotides long. RefSeq lists it as uncharacterized. Lineage: Eukaryota; Viridiplantae; Streptophyta; Magnoliopsida; Fabales; Fabaceae. The transcript is spliced from 11 exons. The record is from RefSeq and is a predicted model, not a curated record.